AAGAGUUGCAAAACUCCCAAACCAUUGUGAACAUACCUUCAACGUUGCUUCGGCGGGUUGGCCCCGGUCUCCGGGGUCCCCGGCCCUACCCGGGCGCCCGCCGGAGGUAUCUAACUCUUGAACUUUUAUGGCCUCUCUGAGUCUUUGUACUUAAUAAGUCAA
This 162-nucleotide unclassified non-coding RNA is filed under the name Humicola nigrescens. RNAcentral describes it as "ITS1". Lineage: Eukaryota; Fungi; Ascomycota; Sordariomycetes; Sordariales; Chaetomiaceae. The record is from RNAcentral.